UUCCAGCCCGCCUUGCUGCUCUCUUGGCCAGCUUAGUUUCUACUCUGCCUUUAAAACCUCCUUCAAACUCAGUUCCUGCAGGAAUCUCCCUGAACAUUCUCACCGGGUCCCUUCCUCAGCACGUGUGCGCCAGAAUCCAUUCUCGUGUCAUUCUGGGCUUCUGUGGACACAUUCAACAUCUGAGAGCUGGAAAAGGCUCUAAGAAUGAACUAGUCUAGCUCUGCACUUCUCAGCUCAGAAACUAUGAAAACAUCGGGAAUCAGAGAAGACCAGAAGGGCAGAGAAGUGAACAGGGGUCAGAACUCCUGCCCCCCACCUCAGACCCAAGUUGGCAUUUGUACUGUGGAUCCCAGCGCCUGGAAUGUUCUCCUCCCACGAUCCUCCUGUGACUCCCACCAUCACCUCAUUCACAUAUCAUUCUCUGUCCAAAUGCCACCCCUAUGAGACCAGGACCAGCUGCUCUCUGCAGAACCGCACAAUCCGUCCCCUUCCCCUGCUUUGAUUUUAGCUGAGCUUUAGUUUAGUUCUUCGCAGCACUCGCCACUCCAUGAAAUUAUAACAGGUUUUAAGACAAAUGCUCACUUCCCCCCGACUAGAACGGGCAAGGCGCUCAGGUGACUGAUUCACCCUGAACAGUGCCGGGUAUCCAGUGCAUGCUGGAUAAGGGAAUGAAUGAACGGAGCGGGGGAGGCAGAGGGCACUGGUGUGGGGCGUGGGAAGAAGCCAGCAGGGAAGAGACAUGGAAAGUACCAGGGGUGUAGAGGGGUGGCACUUACUUGAUUUUAGCAAUGUCCUUUGGGGCAGUGAAGACGCUUGUUCCCUGAAGUUUGGGGAGCAGCUGCCGGAGGCUGGGGGGUGGGUUAUACAUCUCCAACUUCAUACUUAGCUCCAGGUCAUAGCCCUUCGUACUGCAGGAGUCGGGGAAGACAAGCAAUCAGUAACACGGAGCCCCCUCGCUUCAGAGACUUGGAGAGGGACCCUCCCUGGAGGCAAGAGUCCUACACAGCACCACUGCUGACAGGGGCCAGCAGCCUUUGCCCAAGGAAGCAGAACUCACUAUCUUACGAGGGUGCUCACCCCAAGGUUGGACCAUUCAUUCUCAGUUCUGAAAAGUGCGAUACAUUCAAAGAUACAAAUGUAACACAUAUACGUGUACAUAACAAUGUGUCCAUUAGAGAAAAAUUGGAAAAUAGGUAUAAAUCAGUGAGUAAAUAAACAACAUUUUCACCAUCCGGGGAUAAUCAAUGUUAACUUUUUGGUGGGUAGUCCUCCAGACUUUUCUCUUUGUUAAUUUGUACUAUACACAUAUUUUUAAUGAAAAAACAGCGAUCUACGGUUUGCUUUUAUAGCUCGAUAUCUUGUGAAUACCUAGCCACGUCAGAAAGAGAUGUCUGCAAAAAUUCUAUGAUUGCAUUCAUAUGAGACAGAAAGCAGAUGAGUGUUGGCUUAGGGCUGGGAGGAAAUGGGCAGUGAAAGGGAGUGACCGCUGAAGGGGGUGGGUUCCUUUCGGGGGUAACGAAACGCCCUAAAACAGCGGCGACGGCUGCACAAGCUGGGAAUAUACUAAAGACCACUGACUUGUACACUUUAAAUGGUGAACUGCAUGGGGUGCGAAUUGUCUCAAUAAAGCUGUUAACAGACA
Pteropus alecto (black flying fox) is the source of this 1642-nucleotide long non-coding RNA. RefSeq lists it as uncharacterized. The record is from RefSeq and is a predicted model, not a curated record. The transcript is spliced from 2 exons. NCBI's taxonomy places the organism in Eukaryota, Metazoa, Chordata, Mammalia, Chiroptera, Pteropodidae.